AAAGCUCUGUCGUAAGUCAAGAACGGGUGUGAGAGUGGAAAGUUCACACUGUGACGGUAGCUUACCAGAAAGGGACGGCUAACUACGUGCCAGCAGCCGCGGUAAUACGUAGGUCCCGAGCGUUGUCCGGAUUUAUUGGGCGUAAAGCGAGCGCAGGCGGUUUGAUAAGUCUGAAGUUAAGGCUGUGGCUCAACCAUAGUUCGCUUUGGAAACUGUCAAACUUGAGUGCAGAAGGGGAGAGUGGAAUUCCAUGUGUAGCGGUGAAAUGCGUAGAUAUAUGGAGGAACACCGGUGGCGAAAGCGGCUCUCUGGUCUGUAACUGACGCUGAGGCUCGAAAGCGUGGGGAGCGAACAGGAUUAGAUACCCUGGUAGUCCACGCCGUAACGAUGAGUACUAGGUGUAAUCAC
This 408-nucleotide ribosomal RNA is filed under the name uncultured Bacillota bacterium. RNAcentral describes it as "bacterial SSU rRNA". It matches the Rfam family "Bacterial small subunit ribosomal RNA", at positions 427 to 829 of the family's 1533-position model. The record is from RNAcentral. Lineage: Bacteria; Bacillati; Bacillota.